RNAcentral lists this ribosomal RNA (2137 nucleotides) under Salmonella enterica subsp. enterica serovar Brandenburg. Its description in RNAcentral is "partial 23S ribosomal RNA". It matches the Rfam family "Bacterial large subunit ribosomal RNA", at positions 685 to 2802 of the family's 2925-position model. Lineage: Bacteria; Pseudomonadati; Pseudomonadota; Gammaproteobacteria; Enterobacterales; Enterobacteriaceae. The record is from RNAcentral.
UAACCGGGCGUUAAGUUGCAGGGUAUAGACCCGAAACCCGGUGAUCUAGCCAUGGGCAGGUUGAAGGUUGGGUAACACUAACUGGAGGACCGAACCGACUAAUGUUGAAAAAUUAGCGGAUGACCUGUGGCUGGGGGUGAAAGGCCAAUCAAACCGGGAGAUAGCUGGUUCUCCCCGAAAGCUAUUUAGGUAGCGCCUCGUGAAUUCAUCUCCGGGGGUAGAGCACUGUUUCGGCUAGGGGGCCAUCCCGGCUUACCAACCCGAUGCAAACUGCGAAUACCGGAGAAUGUUAUCACGGGAGACACACGGCGGGUGCUAACGUCCGUCGUGAAGAGGGAAACAACCCAGACCGCCAGCUAAGGUCCCAAAGUCAUGGUUAAGUGGGAAACGAUGUGGGAAGGCCCAGACAGCCAGGAUGUUGGCUUAGAAGCAGCCAUCAUUUAAAGAAAGCGUAAUAGCUCACUGGUCGAGUCGGCCUGCGCGGAAGAUGUAACGGGGCUAAACCAUGCACCGAAGCUGCGGCAGCGACGCUGAUGCGUUGUUGGGUAGGGGAGCGUUCUGUAAGCCUGCGAAGGUGUGUCGUGAGGCAUGCUGGAGGUAUCAGAAGUGCGAAUGCUGACAUAAGUAACGAUAAAGCGGGUGAAAAGCCCGCUCGCCGGAAGACCAAGGGUUCCUGUCCAACGUUAAUCGGGGCAGGGUGAGUCGACCCCUAAGGCGAGGCCGAAAGGCGUAGUCGAUGGGAAACGGGUUAAUAUUCCCGUACUUGGUGUUACUGCGAAGGGGGGACGGAGAAGGCUAUGUUGGCCGGGCGACGGUUGUCCCGGUUUAAGCGUGUAGGUGUGUGUUCCAGGUAAAUCCGGUUCACUUUAACACUGAGGCGUGAUGACGAGGCACUACGGUGCUGAAGCAACAAAUGCCCUGCUUCCAGGAAAAGCCUCUAAGCAUCAGGUAACAUCAAAUCGUACCCCAAACCGACACAGGUGGUCAGGUAGAGAAUACCAAGGCGCUUGAGAGAACUCGGGUGAAGGAACUAGGCAAAAUGGUGCCGUAACUUCGGGAGAAGGCACGCUGACACGUAGGUGAAGUGAUUUACUCAUGGAGCUGAAGUCAGUCGAAGAUACCAGCUGGCUGCAACUGUUUAUUAAAAACACAGCACUGUGCAAACACGAAAGUGGACGUAUACGGUGUGACGCCUGCCCGGUGCCGGAAGGUUAAUUGAUGGGGUCAGCGCAAGCGAAGCUCCUGAUCGAAGCCCCGGUAAACGGCGGCCGUAACUAUAACGGUCCUAAGGUAGCGAAAUUCCUUGUCGGGUAAGUUCCGACCUGCACGAAUGGCGUAAUGAUGGCCAGGCUGUCUCCACCCGAGACUCAGUGAAAUUGAACUCGCUGUGAAGAUGCAGUGUACCCGCGGCAAGACGGAAAGACCCCGUGAACCUUUACUAUAGCUUGACACUGAACAUUGAGCCUUGAUGUGUAGGAUAGGUGGGAGGCUUUGAAGUGUGGACGCCAGUCUGCAUGGAGCCGACCUUGAAAUACCACCCUUUAAUGUUUGAUGUUCUAACGUGGACCCGUGAUCCGGGUUGCGGACAGUGUCUGGUGGGUAGUUUGACUGGGGCGGUCUCCUCCUAAAGAGUAACGGAGGAGCACGAAGGUUGGCUAAUCCUGGUCGGACAUCAGGAGGUUAGUGCAAUGGCAUAAGCCAGCUUGACUGCGAGCGUGACGGCGCGAGCAGGUGCGAAAGCAGGUCAUAGUGAUCCGGUGGUUCUGAAUGGAAGGGCCAUCGCUCAACGGAUAAAAGGUACUCCGGGGAUAACAGGCUGAUACCGCCCAAGAGUUCAUAUCGACGGCGGUGUUUGGCACCUCGAUGUCGGCUCAUCACAUCCUGGGGCUGAAGUAGGUCCCAAGGGUAUGGCUGUUCGCCAUUUAAAGUGGUACGCGAGCUGGGUUUAGAACGUCGUGAGACAGUUCGGUCCCUAUCUGCCGUGGGCGCUGGAGAACUGAGGGGGGCUGCUCCUAGUACGAGAGGACCGGAGUGGACGCAUCACUGGUGUUCGGGUUGUCAUGCCAAUGGCACUGCCCGGUAGCUAAAUGCGGAAGAGAUAAGUGCUGAAAGCAUCUAAGCACGAAACUUGCCCCGA